AGAGUUUGAUCCUGGCUCAGAUUGAACGCUGGCGGCAGGCCUAACACAUGCAAGUCGAGCGCUAGAGAGAAGCUUGCUUCUCUUGAGAGCGGCGGACGGGUGAGUAAUGCCUAGGAAUCUGCCUGGUAGUGGGGGAUAACGUUCGGAAACGAACGCUAAUACCGCAUACGUCCUACGGGAGAAAGCAGGGGACCUUCGGGCCUUGCGCUAUCAGAUGAGCCUAGGUCGGAUUAGCUAGUUGGUGAGGUAAUGGCUCACCAAGGCGACGAUCCGUAACUGGUCUGAGAGGAUGAUCAGUCACACUGGAACUGAGACACGGUCCAGACUCCUACGGGAGGCAGCAGUGGGGAAUAUUGGACAAUGGGCGAAAGCCUGAUCCAGCCAUGCCGCGUGUGUGAAGAAGGUCUUCGGAUUGUAAAGCACUUUAAGUUGGGAGGAAGGGCAUUAACCUAAUACGUUAGUGUUUUGACGUUACCGACAGAAUAAGCACCGGCUAACUCUGUGCCAGCAGCCGCGGUAAUAC
This 523-nucleotide ribosomal RNA is filed under the name Pseudomonas sp. NZPN8. Its description in RNAcentral is "bacterial SSU rRNA". It matches the Rfam family "Bacterial small subunit ribosomal RNA", at positions 8 to 526 of the family's 1533-position model. Lineage: Bacteria; Pseudomonadati; Pseudomonadota; Gammaproteobacteria; Pseudomonadales; Pseudomonadaceae. The record is from RNAcentral.